This 440-nucleotide long non-coding RNA is filed under the name Nicotiana benthamiana. RNAcentral describes it as "long non-coding RNA (NBEN_LNC009563)". The record is from RNAcentral. Lineage: Eukaryota; Viridiplantae; Streptophyta; Magnoliopsida; Solanales; Solanaceae.
AUGGUCAAUACGGCGAAAACCUAGCUUCGGGAAGUGGCGCUUUUAUGACGGCCGCUAAGGCCGUCGAGAUGUGGGUCGAUGAGAAACAGUACUAUGACAAUGACUCAAAUACUUGUGCACAAGGACGGGUGUGUGGACACUAUACUCAAGUGGUUUGGCGUAACUCGGUUCGUGUUGGAUGUGCUAGGGUUCAGUGUAACAAUGGAGGAUAUGUUGUCUCUUGCAACUAUGAUCCUCCAGGUAAUUAUAUAGGCCAAAGUCCAUACUAAUUGAAACGACGUAUGUUCAUUCCACGUUAGUAUGUAUGGUUGUUCUGCUUGAUAUCAAGAAAUUAAAUAAUUGCGCUAAAAAGCAACUUAAAGUCAAGUAUAUAGUAAUAGUACUAUAUUUGUAAUCUUCUGAAGUUGAUCUAUAAAAAGACCAAGUGGUCUUAAUUAAGG